AUUCCAAACAUUAAAAUUUGGAAAAUAAAAAUGGGGGCCAAAUGGGGGCUAUAAUUCAUUAGGUGUUAGUUUAACAAGAAAAGGAAUCGAGAUGAUGUUAUAAAAUAAAAGAGAAAAUAUUAUGUGAUUAGAGGCAAAGACUGCAUCUACAUAAACAAUAUAUCUGAAUCUGAAUUUUUUUACAAAACUAUAGGCAUUUUUGAAAAACAUGUCAUUGGGGUUUGUAAUUGUCAAGCCACCUGACACCAGGACUUUUAUUUGUCUGGCAAAGUUAACUGUCACUGCCUCCUAGAAAUGGACAGAAACAGAAAAGAAGAAUUACCAUAACCAGGUCAAACUAUAGGAAGUACCUGACUUCACAUCCCAGUUUGCUGGGAAAGAUUACUUGGAAUCCAAACCCUUGAAAGGAUUGAGAGUUGGAGUGAUCUGUGAAACAUUUGGUGAUGGGGUUGAUCCAGAAGUAAUCUUGUCAGUUCGUGGUGCUGUUACUCAUUUGGAAGAACUAGGGUGCUUUGUGACAGAGGUCUCAUUGCCAUCAUUUUCCCUUGGGUUACCGGCGUACUAUGUCCUUGCAUUGUCUGAAUCAUCUUCUAAUUUGUCUCGCUAUGAUGGGAUUAGGUGAUAUACCAUUUCUUUUUCUUUUUUUUAUUUCAAAUUUUAUGUUGAAAA
Long non-coding RNA from Olea europaea var. sylvestris, 669 nucleotides. RefSeq lists it as uncharacterized. The record is from RefSeq and is a predicted model, not a curated record. The transcript is spliced from 3 exons. NCBI's taxonomy places the organism in Eukaryota, Viridiplantae, Streptophyta, Magnoliopsida, Lamiales, Oleaceae.